Molecule: long non-coding RNA, 916 nt
Filed under: Bos indicus x Bos taurus (hybrid cattle)
Lineage: Eukaryota; Metazoa; Chordata; Mammalia; Artiodactyla; Bovidae
Description: lncRNA (ENSBIXG00005024044.1)
Source: RNAcentral
GAGCCUGCUCUGCAUUGCAGUGGAAUCCAUUUGCUCAGGGACACUAAUAGACUGGAUUCAGAAGUGGGCCCUGAAUUUCCGUGAAAGGGAUGAGGGGCACUAGGGAAGGAGGCAGCUGGGAAGGACUGAAGUUUAGAUAGAAUUUAAAUAAAAUAGACUUCAAAGAAAAUGUUCUUCCUCUGACCUCCACCUCUGCUAAAAGCUGCACGAAGUAAAUGAGAUAAGAGGGAACCAAGUCCUGCAGUGAAAAGCAGUUUGGGUAAAAUGCAGAAGACAUUUGGGAAUGAAAGCGUCUGUUGGUGAAGAUCUGAAUCUUACUUUAUGGAAAGGAGGUUAAUUUUCCUCAUACUUACGACUUUGACACUUACACAUCUUUCAGCUAUUUCAGACAUCUAUUCCUGUUAAAGGAUGCACUGGCCCUAUUUUUGGAAGCUGGAUGACGCAGACGAAAGGUAAUGCAGUAGGGAACCUUUGGCCCCUCUUAAAUCACUGACUCAAAUCAUCACCAGAUUACCAGCAAUCCAAAUAAGUACAGUCUAAUGAUGCCCACAAACAUACCAGUAGGCAAUUAUACUCUUUUUUGAUGUUUCAAUAGUGUUUACGUAGUCGUAAACACUGUUUUUCAGGAAACAUAGUUUUAGAUAUUUUUACAGACAUUAUCUCCACUACUUUUUGCAAUAAUGCUGAACAGUUCAGGUAAGUUAAUUUCCCAAACAUCUAGAAAGUGCCUGUUUAAAUAUUUGAAUCCGAGUCUGUAAGCCAAAAGCUGUAAUCUUUCCACCAUAACACUGUUUAUUGGAGGGAAGAUAUCCAAUUCUGGUGUUCUUGUCCCUUUGACAUUUAGUGCCCCCUUUUCCCUCCCCUGCACUAGCCAGGAAUAGUGAUGGAAAGCAGGCAUAACCCUCCACAACUGGUU